RNAcentral lists this long non-coding RNA (24194 nucleotides) under Coffea arabica (coffee). RNAcentral describes it as "long non-coding RNA (CARA_LNC002115)". Lineage: Eukaryota; Viridiplantae; Streptophyta; Magnoliopsida; Gentianales; Rubiaceae. The record is from RNAcentral.
UUUUUUUUUUUUUUUUUUUUAUUCUGCAAAUUUCAAUUUAAAAAUUAUUAUUUCCAAGGACAGAAACACGUAGAUUCAGAACGACUUCAUCAUGCAUGCAAAGCUAUUAUUAAUUUUGUGACAUAUUAUUAUUUACGCGACCAAUGUCUUUGGAUUCUUGUUACUUGUUGAAAGGGAAGUAAAAUAUAUAGUCGAGAAGUAGUCGAGCUAGUUAUGUUUUUUGGUCGAAUUUAUUCACCUGAUAGUGAUCUGGGAUAGUUUCAAAGAUGCCCUUUCUUUACUGAUCAGCUGCAUGUAUAUGAUUUGAGUAAAUGCUAUACAUAAUCUAAAUGCUUUUCGCAGCUAAAUUGUUCUUUUACCAGAGACAGGUCUUUCCCUGAAUAUUCUGAGAUAGACUAGGGAAGGAGUGUCCGGCAUCGCGCUGGUGUUUGGUAUCCGUGGUUAAAGAAAAUUUUCAGUUCAGAACACACAAAUUGAUACACUAUCAUGUAGAAUUUUCAAGACCAAUUUUUUGUUUCUUCCAUCAUUAUGUAGGAAAUGGACUGAGUUGAGUUGAUUUUGAGGAUUUGAUACGAGCUUGUGAAGGCAUCUAUCAUCAAAGAUGCCAAUUGUGUGGUUUUGACACUAGAUGGUGCAUUCACUAGAAGAAGAGGUCAAGGUUAUCUAGUCAAUUAGUGAUAAGACUGAAUUAUUCUAUUCAUGCAUUGAAACAUCUUGCAUCUCCCCCCCCCCCCCCGCACAACAACAGAAAAAACCCUAUAGACAUCUCUAUGAAGAGAUCAACUUUGACAAAUUCCGAUCCAUCCGGUUAAAAGACUAAAAGAAAAUUAGACUUUAUCAUUUGAUAGAACUUGGUGCUUGCCGGGCGUUUAAGGUGGCAAUUCUGCCGUAAUGAGCAUGUCAAUAUGCUAAUCAUUGGUCUACAUAUGUAAAAGAGUUGUUUCAAACAAAAUAUUAUGUUGAAAUCUUAUUCUUUUAAUUAUUUAACUAUGUGUAAGAUUGGACUCUCACAUGGUUGAUAAUAAUUGGAAUCUGUAAUUAGACAAGUCUUAGUUGAACUCCGAGAGAUUGAACUCUAGCACAAAUGAUUGUCCAACUUCUGUUGGUCUAACUCCACUUUGCAUCCUUAAACUGGUAGCACCUUUUCACUUCACACCUUAAAUUUUAAUUUUGGACAUUUUGCACUAUAAACUCUUAAUUUUGGAUACUAUACACCCUAAACUCUUAAAUUUAUCCUAUUUAAAUAUAAUAAAUAAUUAUGUCAUGCGCAAAAUUAACUAAUCACAAUGUUAUUUUAAUUCUAACUAUGAUCCAUCAACUUUUUUGAUCACUUUCAUCACAUUGCCAUUAUUUUAUGUAGCUUUAAUCACUAAUAUUGUUAGUAAACCUAACAAGAUUAAAGAUGAUACUCAUUAAUGACAAUGUAUUAUUUUAUUUUUAUUACAACACUGUAGUACCUUUUGACUACUUUCAGUACAUUGUCAUUGAUUCCUUGGAUCCUCUACGCCAUUAAUUUUGCCAAAGUUAAUUAUCAUUGAUUAUAAUUAAAUGGGACAAACUUAAAAGUUUAGAGUGUAAAGCAUUCAAAUUUGAGAUUUUAGGGUGUAAAAUGUUCAACAUUGAAAUUUAGCGUACAAAGUGAUACAAGUUUAAGGGUACGAAAUGAAGUUAGUCUAAAUGAGUUCGAUAAGCGGGUUAUAACUAAGACAAGAUUUUUCUGUUUUUCAUUUUUAGCAAGAAAGGCUCAGUGAACAUAGCAAAAACGCUCUCACAAAGGAGCAAAACCAAACUACUAAGACAAAUUGUCUGAGCCAGUUUAUGGAGAAAUCUUGCAGGAGUUUUGAUGAACCAAAAAUUUAUAGUGGGUAGGUACUCAUAGUAUUACUUCUUUUUUUUUUUUUUUUUCUGCAGGUCUUGUUUGCUAAUAUCAUACGUCCUGCAAUUUACAGAUUACCCGUUUUGGCCUACUUGAAUGAGACAGCAAAUUUUUUUUUUUUUCAAGAGAAAGUUUCAUACACUAAUCAAGUCAAUCUGAACAAGCAAAAAAAGACAGUCUGUUCUUUUGUUCGAAGUAUUUGGCAUCAGAAUCCGGCAAUUUUCAGUUGGAGUGUUGGUCUCUAGCUGCCGACAAUUGUAGUAGUUCACAAGCCAUUAUCUGUUUCUCUCUUCUUCAUUAUUCUUCCAACCUUGACACAAUUGUUUAUUAAUGCUUUUCUGAUAUUCUUCUAAGCCCUACCACCUAAUCAUUCUCUUCUUUAUGUAUGAUUUUUUAUUUUUAUUUUUAUUUUUUUUGUGGGACAAUAUCAUUUCAUAAGGUUUAAAGUUUGGACUAUUUAGAAACCCCCAAAAAAAAAAAUUGGACAGCAUUGUUUGUUAUACAAAAAGAAUGAAAAUGAGGUUUGGCUAUUGUAGCAGCUCGUGAAUGCUACGCGAGGUCCCCCCCGGUGCGACUCCCGUUGUGAGCGCCAAAUUCAAAUAGCCCAGGGUCAGGCCUUACUUCCGAGCAAGAGUCGGACUCUACGAGCACAAUCCGGGCCGAAUCCGGAUUAAGUCGGAACAGUGGCUCCGAAUACCGGGUGGUCUGACCCAAACUUUUAGUGGGCCUUUUUAAGGGCCAGAAGGAUGACAGGCCGUAAGGAACCAAUGUUCUUGCUGAAAAUCCAGGCACUUGUACUUGGUUUUGUGAGCAGAAGCACAGCCGCAUCAAACCGAAGUAUCAAUUUUGUGUUGAGAAGAAAAAAGUAAAUUUUUAAAAUUUAUUGGUCCAUGUAUAUUCACAUUUUUUUUUGACAAACAUCUAUAUUCACAGUUCAAAAUGUGUCUCUAUUUUACCACUUUUUAUGAUGCUUUGUUUUUUUUUUUCAUUUCCUUCUUGGGAACUAUAUAAAAAAUGAAAAGUUUCAGUGCAAUUUGAUGAAACCUAAUUAAUCAUCACUUACCAAAAAAUGGUGAAUAAGUCAAACUCAAAAUAAGAUUUGGACAGAUACUUCUCACACACCCAAGUUUGAUAGGCAAAGGUACAUACAUUGUGUCUUGUUGUCGUUUCAGAAAAAAUGAUAGGGAAAAUAAAUUAAAUUUAGAAUUUUGAAGUAGAAGGAGGAAGAAAGUCUUGGACAAUUAAUAUUUACUCAAUUUGAAAAAUGAGAUUAAUUAAGAAGCUAAAAAAUGUUAAGACUAGGAAUUCAUGGAAAUUUUGUGCAUUUACUUCCUUUCGCAGAGUGCAUACUUUUUUGGCAUAAACCAUGCCUUAAAAUUUAGGAAAAAUAGAUGAAUUAUGAGUGUGUUUGGAUAGCAGUUUAUUUGAAAAUAUUAUUUUGAAUAAUUAUGCAUCAUCUUUUGCAAUGUGAUUUAUGUGAGAUAAAAAGUAGUUAAGAAGAUAAAACGGUGUAUUGAAAAAAUAUGUUUGUGAUACAAAUAAAUAAUUUUGUACAAAUAAUGCCUAUAAUUAUCUAUUUUUACCUUAUUAAAUAGUUCAGAAUCCUAAAGAAAUUAAAUUUUUCUACACGUGUCUAAUGAAUACUUGUUAUAAUAUCUAAAUCACACCUAACCUAUCAUGUGAAUACGUACACUAAUAAUUAUUAUCAUACUUUGCAUUUAUAAGUUUUUCAUAAUUAAUUUUACAUUUUUAAAAUAUUAACACGUAAAUUACAUCUUAAAGAGUCCAAAUUAUUCUUUAAAUUUUGGGCAGACCCAUGAAAUUAAUUGGGAGGCAUGAAAAAUUAAUGCUUUCAGCAUCAUGGACAAUUUGAUGGCUUGAAUUGAGCGGACAAAGUGACCAAAAUAGAAAUAAAAAAAAAUUGAACUCUUUUUCUUGAGUGGUUUCACUUUUAAAUGAAGGAAGUAAUCAACUCAGCCUUCCAAACCAGAAACAAAUUGAACUUUUAAAAUAACACAUCAAAUGAAGGAAGUAAUCAAUUCACUUGCCAAACUAGAAAUAAAACAAACUGAACUCUUCUUUCUUGAGUAGUUUCACUUAAAUGCCCAACCUGUGUGAUCCCUUUUAAUGAGUAGCCCAUUUUCAAGUUUACUCAGAUAUUUUAGGGUAUUAACAGCUAAUGCCUUUUUCUGUUAUUGGAACAUAGCAAUUAGCAAUUAAUCGAUCUCUCUAGUUUAUAAAAAUUGCAUUUCUAGAGUAGUCUCAAUUCCUGUGAUUUAAUCUCAUAAAAGUGAAAAUAUCAGGUUCACAGAACAAAUGCCCAUGAGUUUAGAGGUGAUGAACUCGAUUAACUUUCUAAUCUUUCUAGCAUUCGCUGCCAGUGCUAAUUGGUGCACUAAUCAAACUAUACUUUUUUCAGACCAACCGGGUGUGUGUAGUUUUGCCUUGUAGAAUUUCCUGCGUCCAAAAUAAGUAUGCACAACAAUAUAAGCAAAUGAGUUUGGUCCAAACGACACGAUUUGUUACCAGUCCUACCAUGCGGUAUCAUUGUCACGUUAAUUUCCCGUGUACAGAACUUAAUCUAGAUUUACGGUCCGUUUGAUUCAAUGUAAAACAUUUUCAACGGAAAAUGUCUUCCAUGGAAAAUUUUAUCAAGGAAAAUAAUAUCCUUCUCCAUGUUUUUUCCUGUGUUUAAGAGGAGAUGGAGACUACAAAUCUUUAGUGGACUAUUGCACAAGUAGUGGGUUUUGUUACGAAACUUAAGACUGGUGGGAGAGCUUGAAUGGAUAGUCUCACGACUAACGAUGCGGACAUGGAAAAUAACUUCAAUUCAUUUAUAUGGAAAGUCAUUUUACAUCAUCUAAUGUAAAAUAUUUUUGGCAGGAAAAAUUUUUCCCAAAACAAUAACCCAAACAAACAAUAGAAAAUCAGGAAAAUAUUUUCCUUCCAAACAAACAGAUGCUUAGGCUUAGAACCUAUCUACACAUAUUGUUAAUUCAUAGCGAAAGGGAUAGAUUGAACUGUAUCAUCAGCAAUCCUAACAGAACUAACCGCUAUCGUUAGAUCUAAGAGAAAGCCACAUUGAAUAACAAUUAUGGGAGGUAAAACUUGAAUUCUUGACUUCACAUUAUAACUAGCACUUUAAACUAGAGACCGGAUCUAUAGUAUUGUUUACAAUGUAUAUUGCUGUUCAACAAAUUGUUUUACAUUAGUAAGAUAUGCAAACAAGGGUCCAUUGGCGCGCCCUCGGGUGCGAGUCUUGGAGCCAAGGUAUCUAUUUCUUCUUUUUUUUUUAUGAAACCUAUUCAUUAUGAUAAAAUUGUAAUCAACUUCGAAUCAUCAACAAAAUAUACUCCAUUGAUGUCAUACUAAUAAGUAGACAUAGACUAAUACCACCAAAAUGCCUCUCUCGUAUAGGUAUCCUCCACACUUUCAAUGGAGGAGUUGGCCACCAUCAAACCUUUUAGGCUUGGUGUCCCACUAAUUGCUAUAGGUAUGGCUCUCUAAAUCCAGACGGGUAUGUAGUGCGCUCGUUUGGUUCGAUAGUGAUUCAGUAUCCGUCGGCCCUCCCCAUAGGCUCAGUUGGGUCCCCCUUAGAAUAGGAUAGAGUAGAAGUAGGAGUAGAUGUAGAAUAGACAAAUACUGAAAGUUGAAAAAAAAAUUUAGGUAUCCUCCACUAAGAGAAUCAUCAGACUUCACUUUUAUCAUGUUUUUGUCUAAAUUCAACAUCCCAAAUUUAUUUUCAUUAAAAUUUUCCUCUCUUAUAUGGUAAAAUGGGACCUAAAUUUGUCACAAAGAAAAAGAAAUAAUUCUUUUGUUUGGUAAAAUGGGACCUAAAAUUGUCACAACAAAAAAUAAAUAUUUUUUUAAUUCAUCUUUUUUUAAGUGUAAGUUGAAGGUUUCGAACUCGAGAUCUCUCACUUAUACUCUCUCUUCCCAUACCAUCAAACUCAACUCAUUCCUCCCUUCUUGAAUUCAUCUAUUAAAAUUUGACAUAUCUAAAUGAAUAGUAUCAUAGAUUGACAAUAUAAUCAUGAUCAGUAAAUAAAAAAAUAAAUAUAUCUAAUUCAGAUAGAAAAAUCUCAUCUUUAUUGAAUCAUUAUCAUCAUCAAGUAACACAACACAAUUAACCAAAACAAAAAAAAAAGGAAAAAAACACAAAACAAAAUAUGAAAAAAAUCUAAAAACAACCAAUCAAUCAAAAUUAAAAAUAAAUGGAAAUUAAGAUAACAAAACGUAGAUAUGGAUAAGGCCUAAGGGGCUCACAUGACGGUGAUUGAAAUCUAAAAAUCGUCAACAUGAAGACGUCAGCAACCGGACUUUGAUUUCCCAAUUUAUAAUAUUUUUCUUAAAAAAAGAUAAAAAGAAAACGUAUUGUGUAUAAAGAGUCUUUAUAAUUCCAACUAUCAAUUACUUGAUUUCUAUUUUCACCUAAAGAUUUCAUGCAAUCACUGUUUACAAAGGUUUGCAAAUUUGCAUGCAUGCAUCAUUAAUUCCAAUAGUUGCAAUAAUCAAGGUAUGUGAUAUGCAUUAGUGCAAGCAAUUGUCCAUUCUCAUUAACUUCUUGAAAAAUAUAUAAAAAUACAAUAUAAAAAUACAAAUUAAGAGACUAUUUACAAUUAAAAGACUAAUAAUAACAUUAAUCCAUAAUUUGAUAUGGUCGUAAUAACUUUCCAAAUACCUGUUUCCCAAUAUUUGAUAUAGCUUAAUGAUGAUUUCUUCUUCUUUGGUAAAAUUUCACCAAUAUCAAUGAAAUAAUAAUGGAUUUGAUUAGCAAUUAGGAGUUUAAUAAGUUCAUCAUUUAUUUGAUGAUUAGUGUUUGUAUGUAUUAGUAUUUGAAUAGAAGAUGAGAGGCUAAUAAAGUUCAAUUUGUAAACAUUAGUAUGUAGGCAAAUUGUUUUAAUUGUCCAUAAUACUUGAUUUUAUAUUUAAGCUAAUAUUUAUAUAAUUUUGGGCAUAUUAGUCAAAUCAAAAGAAUAAAAAACACAUAUCGAUAAAUCGUUCAAAAUAUUUUUUUAUAUAUGAUAUAGAUAUAGAUAUAGAUACUAUCAAAGUAAAUAUACAAUAUGUACUUAUUUAUAAUAAGUUGACGCUUUAGUUUGGAAGGCGGGGAGGGAUGAGUUCAGUGGUACAGAAUGAUAGAAUGUAAGCAGAUCCCGAAUUCAUACCUUCUCAUUUACACUACAAAAAAUAAAAUAAAAUAAAAGAAGUUGAGGCUUUAGUUAUACUAGUAAUACUACUAUGACUUGAAAGUGUAACGUCUAUAGAUGCUUGUUUAGGUUCUAUUUGAUAACAUAAAAAAGUGUUGAAACUGAACUUUUUUCAGACAUUCAGAUAUUUUGAGUGUUUGAUAAAUAAAAAUCUAUUUGCUGAACUUGUUAAAUAGUGCUGAAUUUAUGUGUAUCUUUUUCAGCACAAAAAUAGUAACUAAAUGUUUAAUUCGGAUAAGAAUCAAUAGAACUAGUUCAACUACCUUAUCUUAUCUAUCAAAUUUACCUUUGUUUGUUAAUUAUGUUCAAAAUUUUUAUCUAAUUAAACAACUUGAUAUUCUUUAUUCAACAUCCUAAUCUAAUAAAACAACCUGAUAUUCUCUAUCUAACAGUUUUCUAUUUCUAUUUUCUCCAUAUUUAAUGACUUUCAUAUUUUCUCCAUACUCCUCAUAUAAUAUAUUUCAUCUUUUAUAUUAAUUUGAUUUAAAAAUAAAUAUUGUCAUUUUCAUACCUAAUAAUUUUAAACUAAUUAAAUCAUAGGUUCUAUUUCUUUUUUGGAUGAAAAGAUAGAAGGGCAAAAUGUAUAAUCUAACUUAUUAAGCAUUCAGUUAUAAAUGUUUAUCAAACAGUAUAUAUAGAUUCAGCAUUAAAAUUCAGACAUUCAUAUAUUCAACAAAUUAAUUAUUUCAUAUUCAGAUUUCAGAACUCAGAUUCAGUUUUAUCAUACGGAACCUUAUUUUAGUGACUUUUUCUAACAAGUGCUCAAUAAGCACUCAUUAACACAUCUAAAUCACAAUUAAUUUAUCAAUUGAAUGCAUACACUAACAAUUAUUACACUCCUUUACAUACAUACAUAUACACAUACACUCACAUAUAUACAUGUGUGUGUGUGUGUGUAAAUUAACUUUAUUUUUCCAAAAUUUUAAUAUUUGAACUAAAUAUUAACGAGUGCCUUAUUUUAAUUAGCAAACACUGCGCCUAUGGCGAGUUCAAUGCUGCUGUUUUUUUUGUCACCGUUGGGCUGAGAAAGUAUGGUUUAGUGUACGAAUUACAUGGAAUACAAGAAAUUUAGGCAAUUAAUUGGCUUUAUAGUUCGUAGAGCGCACCUAGCAUUUUCAUUUCUAGCAAGAUUUAACAGCACACGUGAAAAUGGGAUUUAGAUUAUCCUGGGUGAUUUCAGCUUUGCACCUUGUCCUUAGAGAUAAAGUAGAACCCUCAAAUUUGAGUAAGAAAAUCAACUUGAAAGCAGUUCAUACGAGUUUUUUUCUUUAUGUAUAUGAUAUGACAUUUUCGCAUUAAAACUUAAAAUAGGGGAGACAAAUGCAAGUCAAAAUCCUCAAGAGAAAUGCCAAAAACCUCCAGGGAACUUCUGAAAUACCCCAAAAACUGGACAGAACAUGCUAAAAGAGUAGGUUUGAGGACAAAUCAUUUUGGACCUUGCCGUUGAAAAUAUAAUAUGAAGGACAAUGUUUGUAUAACAUAUUGUCAUUCUUGAAUGAUGUGGUUGAGCUCACAACCGCACAUUUUGUUGCAGCCACCAUAGUGCAACGUGUUGGAUUAUUUACCCAUUAGUGCUCUUGGUGAUCAAUCACCGUUCUGGAAUCAUGUCUGCUGUAUAUACACUUCUGCAGAUUGCUGUACAACUUUGCCAGGCCACCAAAAUAGAACCAGCGGAGUGAUCAAUCAAAGAAGCUUGCAUAUAAGGAAGAGAUCCAGUGUUUUAUUUUGAUCCAAUAUUUGCUUCCUGCUACGGUGCUACCCUGACUUGAAUUGCUAUUCCCUUUUAUGUGUAGAAUGUUUUGGUCAAUAGAGAGAGAGAGACACACACACACACAUACACACAACGGUAGUAAUACAACGCCAACCCAAAAUUCUGAAGGUUACACUUUGGGAAAAACCAAAAAUGAUACUAUCAUUUACCCUCAAUGUAAAUAUAUACCGUAAUUAUUCAUCACUAAGCGUCUGAAGGUUUGGUUAUAAUUAUUUUUUCUUGUUCUGCCAGUGCUAAAUGCGGGGAGGCAAUAUUUGAUUACUAUCUUAACACGAAACCUAUCUUUAGCCUCAUUGGAUUCCCGUAUUCUCCAAAAUUUCUAGCAACAAGAGAAUAACAAUUCAAAGCAUGGUGAGAGGAAUUCGUUAUUGCAUUUUCAAAUUUAAUAAUGUAUGACUUAUUACCAUUUUCAAGAUAGCUAGCUAUGCAUUCAAGCAUAAGGGUUUGGCACUGAUGCUCUUUUGCUUUUGGCAGUUCAAUUCGAUUGCGCAUAUGUUUGAAUUCUUCCAUGUACAACCAUAUUAUAUUAUUAUAUGAAGCGAAUAUGAAGUAUUUUAGUUAUGUACGUUAUAUAAUUAUGGAUUUGUCUAUCCUAUGAGCACUCGUUAGAUAUAUUUCAGAUGCAAUAUUUUUUAAAAUGUAAAAUUAAUUAGGGAGAGGAAAUAAAUACAAGAAAAGAUAUAUACAAUUAAAUAAAAAAACAUAUAAAUACAAGAGACGGUAGUGAUUGUUUAAUAUGUACAUACAUAUUAGAUUAGAUGAAUAUUAGAUUUAUCAAUGAGUACGCUGUCGGCACCGUUAGAAAGAUGUGUUAAUAAAUGCACUAUAAAUACCGUUAGCAAAUCCCUAUAAUUAUGCAUCAAAUAAUGUAAUAAGUUCAACCAUAUUAUUAUGCACCGAAGUCAGCAGCAUCAGCUGAUUCUGGGAACUGGAACGGUAUACCGGUGCCAAAAAUCCACAUGGGCUUAUCUACAAUCUCUAUAACAACCUGAAAUUCAAAUGGGUUAUCUACAAUCUCUCCUUCCCUUCCCUUCCCUUUCCAUCAAUAAAUACUUCCGUUUGUUCUUCCAAUACCAAUUUUCCAACCUUUGGAUUCUGACAAAAUAUUCAUUGUAUCUUUCCACCAGUCAGACUAAAGAAUAGAAACAAAUAAGAGUAGCCGCUUCUUUUGAGCACUGUUGAGUCUUGCAGCCUUCAACGGCAACACCAGAAGUCCUCUCUUCUCUUCGCUUUCUCCUCUCUGCCCUCUCCUCACUCCACGCUAUCUGGAAUACAAGGUAACUUCAACACGAAAACUCCCUCUUCUCUCCCAUUUCCAUAGCAAAAGACGUGCAUGCAAAUCCUUAAAGUUAAAAUUGUUCAAGAAAAUGUUGAAUGCUGUUCUUGUCCAAUGCUAUCAAGAGAACAAAGUCUUCCAACCCUUCAAGGAUUCCUAAAUUUUCAUUUCUCUUUUAUUAUCCUACACAUUUAUUUGUUUGUGUAGAUUCCAAUUUACCACUUGCAUAUCAUAUAAUUAGCAGAUUAACCAGUCGAAGUCGUGGCUGGAAGUUAAAUUUCAUAGUCAUCUUUUACAAAAGUGCAUAUAAGCAAAGGUUGGAUUGUAUCAUGAGGCUUUCUCAAGUGGUGAAUUUUUUGUCAAUGCAGUUGAUUUUGGGAGUGAAUUUGGUGGUAUCAAAUAUUUAUAAGCAUGUCUAAGCUGAGAGUGGCAGUGGUGGGUGCUGGGAUUAGUGGGCUGGUUGCAGCUCAUGUUUUGGCCAAGGAAGGUGUCGAUGUGGUAAUAUACGAGAAAGAGGAUUACUUAGGCGGCCAUGCUAAGACUGUUACUAUGGAUGGCAUUGAUCUUGACCUUGGCUUCAUGGUCUUCAAUCGUGUAAGACAAAGCAAUUUUAUGUUCCUUUUGUCAUUGCAUUUUGUUGAUUCUUAUGAACUUUGGGUGCAUCUUUUCCCCAUAAAUAGUCCAGGAAUCAUUCUUAAUGCUCCAUUCUCUUCACAUCUAAGUUUUCAACUUUUCAAGAAUUUCAGAACAAGAAAAAAAUACCAAAAGCAUUGUUUACAAUUCCAAUAGUACUUGAGAAAAAUAAUUACUCUUUCAGCUUCAUAACAAACCAUAAUUAUUUAGCCUAGCAAUAUUUCUUGUUAUUCGACUAGUGCAGAGCGAAUACUCCUCAUUUUAGAACUCAACUUCCAAUUUCGGAUGAUGCAUCCCGGUUAGAGAUCCUUUUCUCAGUUAAAAUUCGAGGACUUGUCAAAGUAAAAUAAGGGAAAACUGCUUGAGUUAGGUGUUGUAAAAUUACAAGAACCAAAGUGAAAAUUUUUUCUUGACAUGAAUAUGGAUAGAAAGGGAUGGAUGUAGUUAUAGGCAAUAAUUCCUGAUUCUGAUUGUGCCACGACCUCAGCAGAGCUUGGCCACAUUCACUAACUAACAGGACAGGGGUGAACGGUUGUCAGGAAAAUGGUUCGGGCUGAUUUUGUGCAAAAUGUAUAAGAUGUAACUUUGUAUAUACAAAAUAUAAUUUACUUUCAAUAACGUGUAACUAUAAAAUAAAAUUUUGUGAGUCUCACGCAUGAUAUGAAAAACGAUGUACAACAUACAAUUUGGACUUUAUAUUUUUUUUUGCCAAAUCUUAGCCAUGAACCUUUAGAAACUGUUGCAACGGUUGCAGAUCUCCUCCUCCUCCUCUAACAUCAUAACAUAUGAGUCAACUCUGUUCUAAUGAAUAAAGCAUUAUCAGGACUAGUAAUAAGGGCAGACUCGAUGUGUGUGCGCAUGCAAUUUAAGAAAAAUCACUUUUUGCAUGAAAGAAGUCAAUAUAAAAUUUUUAUAAAUAAAAAAAAUUUUCAUCUUUCAAAAGUUUGUUUGAAUAAAAUUUUAUGAACUUGGUGGUUAUAAUAUUUGUGGGUGGUUAUGAUUAAAUUAAAAAAAAGAACUUUGAUCUUUCAAAAAAAAAUUUAAUAAAAUUUUAAUGAACUUGGUGGUUACAAAUUGUGGGUGGUUAAGAGUAAAAGUUAGUUAUGGUUAUAUUGGUUGGCAAUAUAGGUAACAUGUAAUCAGAUAACAAAGGUAUAAUCAAGUGAUUGUGAGAGUAAAAUUGAAAAUCUAAAAAAUGAUAAUAAAAAAAAGUUUACACCAGACUCAAUAUCUCCGAGGAGGGUUGGGGUGGAUGGUGAGAUGGGAGUAAUUAUAAAUAAAACUUAACGCUCUUCUAUUAUAUACAGUAUAGAUAUUAAUACCAUAAUAUUCAUUUUAUAGAAGCCGAAAAUGGUACUUAACUCACAUCAUAUACUUAUCAGCAUGGCAUGAUUCUUUUCCAACGCAUAUAGAUGCAUAUGAUUAGUUGGUGGUCUUUUUCAUGAAAUUUUAAUUUUUUCGAGAUAUGAUAAUUAUAUUUUGGUGGUAUCAACUUAUGUUCUUGUCUUAGCAUCUAUCCUAGCAUUUUGUUGAUCACAUAUGAAGAUAGAAACAAACAUCUUUAAACAAAAGUAUAAUAUGUUAGAGAAAAUGUGAUGACUCAAGAACUUAAAAAAAAAAAAAAAAAAAAGGGAGAUGGACAGUUCUUUUUAUUCUCCUUUUAUGCGAGUAGCUAUCUAACAAUUGAUAGGGUUCUGUUUUAAAAAAAAAAAAUGUGCCUGUUGUCAAUACACAUAAUGUAAAUUUAAUUGAUUAAUUAAAUGCUCAUACUUACAUUUUGACUCUUUCCCAGUAAAAUUUCACUUAUUAAGCAAACUAACAUUAAGAAGUUCAAACCAAUGAAAGUUCUAUUUAUUAGAGGAAAAAAAGCAAAUGCUAGAAGAAACAAAAAUGUGGCAAAAAUUUGUUCUUGAAAAAACGUAAAAAUGAUGCAUGCAUCUUUACGUAUUUUUAGAUUGUCAUGGCUCUGUUCUAUGGUUUUAAAUUUAGAUACUUAUAUUAUUCUAAAAGUAUUUGCCAAAAUUAUGGUCUAGCAGCUGAAUAUUUUCUUAAUCUUCUCUUUAGCGACUGACUGCCGUCGUAAUCAAGAAAGGAUUUUCUUUUCUUUUCUUUUUUUUCCUUCCUUUUCAAGGAAUUUUAGAAGUGAAAAUGUGACCAUAGAAGUCAAUUACAGAAGCUACUUUCAUCUCAAUUAAGCCAAGAUUGGUCCUAAUAUUACAUCAAUGCACGUUUUGUCUCUAUGCUUCAAUGAACUAAGGCCUAUCGUUGUGUUUGGAUAUGGCUAAACGUUGUUAGAUAUUUCUCACCCUAAUCCUACUUUGCACUCUUGAACUGUUCGAUUCUCACUUUGGUCGGUAAAUUUUAAGUUUAGAACACUUUUGCUCCAUAAAUUUUAAACUCGACAAUGGUUAACAAAAUGCACAAAAACCAACUGAAUACCUUUGCUAAUCUUGAUUACUUCAUUGCUAAAACUAAAAUAUUCUGUUAGUUUUGUAUAUUCCAUUAACAAUUGGAUUAAAGUGGGACAAGUUUAGAUUUUGGACAGUAACAUAUACCAAACUUUAGUUCAGCGACCAAAAUAUGAACUGUAGUAGAGUUUUAAAGAUGUAAAAUUGAAUUAACCCGCAUUUUUUAAGUUUAACCUUAGAUAUUUGUUAAUAAAUGGUUUUUGAUAAGGGACCAUCUCUGUUGUUAUCUUCCAAAAUCCUAACGCCUAAAGUGUCAGUGAUGGUAUUUUGUAGUACACCUUGCUGUUGAUAAGAUUUUGGGACAUGGGAUUUUUUGGAGGGUUGUGGUGUGGGUGGGUUGGGGGGUGGGGGCAGGGACCAUUAGCAAAUAUCUCUUCUUCAUGAAGGCUUUUACAGAAAAGAAAUGGUACUAAAAUGAUAAAAUCUGCCAAGUAGAAUUCUAAGAACACUUUUAUGCAUUACACACAGAAAAAGAAAAAAAAAAAAAAGAAUAUAUGGAGCAUUACUACCUUGCGAAAUUGCCAUUAUUUAUUGGUUAUUGGAAUAUGAAGCAUACAAAAUUUGAAUGCAUUCUAAACCUGAAUCUGGUUAUAAAUUUUGGUAGUUAAAAAAGGGCAUGAAGAAAUUCCAGAAAAAAUAGGGAACCCUUAAUCAUAUUGAACAAGCAGCUGCUCAAGCCACAAGGAUGCAGGUCUCCUAAUUCAAAUGCCUUGUUCUUUGUCGUAAAUUUUCAGGGCUGUUUGCAUGGAUCAAAAUGUAGUUAGUACGAGACAUUAGCAAUGCAUGACACAAACAUUAUGUAGGAAAUAGUUGAUGAAACUGUUUUAAGCGCAAAUUGAUUUGUUUUUUCGGUUACGAUCUAAGUAGAAAAGCAAAGGUGGAAUUAAGUAAAAGAUGAUACUUAUAGCAAGACUGCUGAAUAUUCUGAAAAAUCUUUAGUUUUUAACAAGAGCAGCAACAAAAGUGGAAAGAAAUGACUGCAUGCUAUGCUAAUUUUUACUCGAGGAAAUUUGGGACUGUUUAGCUAAUGGUGUGUUGGGUAAUUGGCCAGGUGACUUAUCCAAAUAUGAUGGAACUCUUUGAGAAUCUUGGAGUAGAUAUGGAGCUUUCUGAUAUGUCAUUCUCAGUGAGCCUAGACAAGGGCAAAGGCUGUGAAUGGGGGAGCAGAAAUGGAUUGUCAAGUUUGUUUGCACAGAAGAAGAAUGUACUUAAUCCAAAAUUUUGGCAAAUGAUCCGAGAAAUUGUCAAGUUUAAGGCUGAUGUCAUAAGGUAGGUUUCCUCGUCCUUUUUAGUGUUUUCAUUGAAGUAAGAAUUCCUUAAAGAAAUGUUUUUCCAUUGCAUCUCAGAAGCCAAACGAAAUGAAGCGACUGCAGAAUUCUACAUGGUGUCAAUAUUAGGAAAAAAUAGUUUUUGGUGCUAAUCAGUCAAUUCUUACCUGAAUUCCCUGGGAGCAACUAGAGGAUUUGCAUAUGCGAUCGACUUCUCCAGUUAAAUAUGCAUCUAAUGAAGGAUGAACUAACAAAAAGUUCUAUACGUAAUGCAGUUAUGUAGAAGAGCUAGAGAAAAAUCCGGACUUAGAUCGGAAUGAAACACUUGGGCAUUUCAUCAGAUCACGUGGAUACUCAGAGUUAUUUCAGAAGGCCUAUCUUGUGAGGCUCCUACAGAUGCUUUAGUUUAUGGCAUUGAUUUUCUUUUGACCAAUGUAUUAAAUGAGCUUGCUUUCACAAUAAUACCAUAAGCAUAUAUCUCUGCUUUUUGACAGGUUCCAAUAUGUGCUUCUAUCUGGUCAUGCUCUUCAGAAGGAGUAUUGAACUUUUCUGCGUAUUCUAUUCUUUCCUUUUGUCGUAACCACCACCUUCUUCAGGUAAUGUGCCUUGCAGGCACCAUUGAGAAUUUGAGAUGAACUGCACUUUUUGAAAUAAUAUGUGAUGUGGCUGCUGUUUCCCUUUGCCAUUUAGCUCUUUGGUCGCCCUCAGUGGCUCACAGUAAGAUGGCGUUCCCAGACUUACAUCUCCAAGGUAAUUAAUUUAAAUUCCUUUUGUUGUAUACCACUGAAAAUUCCCCUGAUUGAAUGCAUAAGAGGACUGUAUAUUCUGUUAUUGUUUUGCACAAACCAGGUUAAAGAUGAUCUGGAAAGAAGAGGCUGUCAAAUAAGAAAUGGUUGUGAAGUACGCGCUGUUUCAACUAAGGAUGAGGGUAUCAACUCGUACAUUAUGCUCAAACAUUGUAGAUUUCAAAUUGGAUGGUGUUCUUUUGUUCAAGUAAAAACCAGACCAAUUAAAGCUGGAACUGGAACCAGAAUAUUGAUAUGUCAUCCUAGGACGGUUUAAAGUACAACACAACAAUUGCUUCAGAGAAACAAAUGGUUGCCUUCUACAUGAGAAAAUAGUGAAGACGCAAUCUUUAUAUACUAGCUGGUGGUUGUAAACCAAGCAGGAUUCUUCCUAGUGUCUUCUAAAAUCUCUCUGUUUUGAGUACUUUCUACGAGUGUUUUAUUGUCUAUAUCUUUUUCCUUAGUUGAGAAUUUUGGAUGUCAUUCUUAGUUUCAUGCCAAAAGACAGUACAUAACACAAUUUCCAAACUCAGAAACCAAAAUAUAGCAGUCUUGACUGUAGAGAUAUAAUUUGCUCAAUUGUUAGGUUGUGUGCUAUUGAUUAUGUUGAUACUCCCAUUCAUAAUGAAGAAGAAACUUGUACAGGUUGUGUUGUUACAUGUGAAAAUGGUUCCAUUGAAGUAUAUAACUCGUGCAUAGUGGCUGCGCAUGCUCCAGAUGCUCUUAAGAUUUUGGGAGAGCAGGCAACAUAUGAUGAAUCAAGAAUACUUGGUGCUUUCCAAUAUGCCUACAGGUAUCUUACUUUUUAAUGUUGGCUCUUAGUUUGCUGAUUUCUUAACCUUGAUACAAAUUGUUGCUUGUCUCCUCUAUUCGUCUCCAUUCUAAAUUUUAUCAGAAAUGCAAAGUUUGCGGUGAAUUUUUCUCUUCUCCUUUUCUUACGUCAACAUGUUUUGGGAGGUUGUAUUUCGUUUGGAGAUUUUCUUUUCUCCAAUACUUCUCUUCUGUUUCUUAUUGUAGAAGGUCUGGUUUCAAUUUUAAUAAAUAUGCUGGGUCAUGGAACCAGUUCAAAAUGCACAUUCAUUGUUUACCGCUUUAUGGCAGUGAUAUUUUCCUUCAUCGUGACAAAAACUUCAUGCCCCAAAAUCCAGCAGCAUGGAGCGCAUGGAAUUUUCUUGGAACUGUGGAUAAUAAAGUAUGUGUAACAUAUUGGCUCAACAUCCUCCAGGUUGGUGAGAUGUGUUCCCAAUAUAUUUGAUCAUUAGUUGUAUUGCUCUCAGAAUCCAUCAUAACGAACAAUUGCACAAAAAGCAUUUGAGAAUUCUGUGCAAUUGGCUUGAUCACAGUGCUAUGUAUGAGCUUUUAACUUAAAUAAUAAGUAAUAGCCCUCAAAGAAAUACUGGGAACUUCCAAAAGAUGUAUCAGUAACCUUAGAAAUCAAUGUGCACGCUCAAGAUAUCAAAUAAGCUCAAUUUCUUAUUUCCAGCUUCCAGCAACUUCAUUUUCAUGUUGCUGCAUUAAUGGAAUUUAUGCAAUGUGCUUCUUCUGUCAUUAAUAUCUUCAGCAUGAAUAACAAUAUUUAGCGUACAGAAUCUAGGAGAAACUGGACUGCCUUACCUGGUAACUCUCAAUCCGCCUCAUACACCUGAGAAUACAUUACUCAGGUGGUCAACUGGGCAUCCAGUUCCAUCAGUUGCUGCCUCAAAAGCUUCUACUCGACUUAAUGACAUCCAGGGGAAGAGAGGAAUAUGGUUCUGUGGAGCAUAUCAAGGUGACCACUUCACUUUGAAGAUCUUACAUGUCACCUUCUAAUGCACAAAAACAUUCAUUAUAAAACCAGUGCACCCAAUGUUGAAUUUUUAUGUGAGAGUUCACUUUUGCAUCUGACACUAUACUUUUUUCAGGUUAUGGUUUCCAUGAAGAUGGACUUAAGGUACUCUCCAUUUUGACAUCAUAUUGACAUAAUUAGAGUAAUUGAGUGUAGCAAAUCUUGUAGAUUGAUCGAAAGAAUGAAACCCAAGAUUAAGAAGCUGGAAAGAAAUGUUUCUAGUGAAGUAUAUUUUCUAAUAUUUGGCUUGGUUCCAGAAGUGCUUAUUAACCAUAUAGGCAAGUUAUUGGUUGCAAUUAAGCAUCUUAUCUUCUUUUCAGGCUGGUACAGUUGCUGCUCAGAGCCUGCUCAGAAAAAGUUGUACUAUCCUGAGUAACCCCAAACACAUGGUACCUUCCUGGACAGAGACUGGGGCACGCCUUCUCGUUACUAAAUUCCUCAAUGGUUUUAUUGCUACUGGCUCAUUAAUGUGAGUCAAUUCUGAGAGUAAACUAAUUCUCAUUUGCAUGUUAUAUAUUUUCACAAAGAAGACUUAGAACAAAGGCAUACUAUACCUAUUUAUUGAACUUAACUGUCUAUCGAAUUUGUAUCCCUGUUUAUCGAACUUAUAUCUGUCUAUCGUUUACAUUCUAAUACUGCAGUGGUUUGUCUAUGUUACCAUUUACAUUCUUUUUCUCUCAAAUCCAAAUUCUGUGACUGUUUUGUCAUUAAUUAAUUCCUAAACUUUAACCGGAUUUAUCAUUGGUUCUUCAAUAGACCUGCUCACUUAUGCCAAAUUUGCUUGUUAUUGAAUAUUAGCUCCCGAUGUGAUUAAAUAAGCAUGUUUUUUCUUAGUUUUUUGAUGUUUAAAAGUUGUUUUUAAGAGUCCAAUCUAUAGGCCUAAAGCUCCAAAGUUACAUGCAUUAUCUGUGUUUUCUGUUUUAACAGGUUACUGGAAGAAGGUGGCACAAUGUUUACCUUUGAAGGAACAACAAAGAAAAGCUUCCUGAAAGUUUCUAUUAAAGUUCACAGCCCACAGUUUUAUUGGAAGGCACAGUAUUUCUUUGGUUGAUGUUUACAGCAUUUGAACAUAGUCUCCAGUUGCAUGCGCUUUGAGUUUGCCUUCAUUCCAUGUCAAUGUUGUAUUGCCAGGUUGCUACUCAAGCCGACUUAGGCCUUGCAGAUGCCUAUAUAAACGGGGACAUUUCUUUCGUGGAUAAAAAUGAAGGUUUGCUUAAUCUUUUCAUGGUAAGUAAAUGAACACCAAACAACUUUCAAGCUUUUUCAUCAACAUCCCUUUUCUGAAUUCUUCAUUUCAGGUUUAUGUUGCCAACAGAGAUCUUAAAGCUUCUGUCACAAGUUCUAGCUACCAAAGGUAAAAGGAUUUUCAGUUAGAUGUGUUUAGAUGUUAGUCUGAGUAGUUUAUCCAGAGAUCCAGAGUCCCGCCAUUUCCUUAGUUUUGGUACGCAUGCAUUUAACUUUUUUGGCAGAGGCUGGUGGACACCACUGCUUCUGACGGCUGGACUAGCAUCUGCAAAGUACUUCUUUCAGCAUGUUUCAAGACAAAAUACUCUAACACAGGCUCGCCGAAACAUCUCUCGGCAUUAUGAUCUGGUGAGUCAUUUAUCAAUGAACAGUUCAGCAAGAACCAACUUAAAUAUGACAUUGCUAGGAUAUUCUUCCUGUUGACUUAGCGAGGAAAUUGAUACUGUCUUCCAUUUUUCAGAUUAGAACUGUUUCCUAAGAGAUUCUCACAAUCUCCAAUCCUUUUCUUUUCUUUCUUUAAUUAUGAAACAAUUUCCUUUUUUGGAAUAAGAAUACAGUACUUGUUGUAUUUGGCUUUACGUAGGCAAAUUGUAAUUUCUUUCUGAUGAAAGUUAUUGGCCUAGCUAUUGAGCAGAAAGUUAAUCAAGACUUCUUUCCUUGUAAUGUCUCCAGAGCAAUGAACUAUUUUCUCUGUUUUUGGAUGAAACAAUGACGUAUUCAUGUGCAAUAUUUAAGGUAAGAAUUUAAGCCUUGCUGUAGUAUAGCAGUCUUUUCAAAGCUGAAUUACAGCGAAACUUAUUUUUUGUCUUGACAUCUGAAAGCUAUCCCUUUUUGUGUACUUGUCAUAGUCUGAAGAUGAGGACUUGAAAAUUGCACAAUUGAGAAAAAUUUCCCUAUUGAUUGAAAGGGUAAGCAUUCUAUUUUUGCAAGUCCCUCAAAUUCCUAAGCUGGUUUGUAAUCAAAGCCAUGUCUGUUCAUACUUACCUACUGCAAAUCGACUUUUAGGCCAGAAUCAGUAAGGACCACCAUGUCCUGGAGAUUGGCUGCGGUUGGGGAAGUCUAGCUAUUGAAGUUGUCAAAAGAACUGGAUGUCAAUACACUGGAAUCACCCUUUCUGAGAAGCAACUUACAUAUGCAGAACAGAAAGUGAGGGAAGUUGGGAUGCAGGUAUCAAAAUCAAUGGCUCUGGAACUUUACAAAACCGAAUUGGACAUCAAAACUCAAUUUAGAUGAACUUAAAAAGUGUAGUUCUUGUAAUGUCUGAAUGUGAAGAUCAUGUUUAAUCCGAAUAAUCACAAUCCACAAUCUGGUUGCCAUCUAUCUUAUUAUGCAGUUACCAACAGUAACUAUGAACAUUGAUUUCAUAAUGGAUCAUUUCGUGUUUGUCUGCUACUCUUCAAAAAUUGAAUGUUUGGGGAUGGUAGGUAGGGUGUCUGUACAAGACCUAUUAUUGGUGCACCACACAAAUACUACGCACCACUUUGGAUGCAUGGUUGGGUAAAUGAUUUUGCACAAGACUGUUUACCAUUUGAUAAGUAGCCAAUAUAAAGUUUAUGUCCAUAUUGCAUUAAAACUGUUCUCUGUAUCUAUGCUUCUGAUCCUUCUAGCCAAUUUCAGAUGAUCUAUUUGUUAUCAUUUUAGACUGCUAUCUAAAUUGAACUGUUUCCAUAAACUUCCUCACUUAUUUAGCUACGUUUCAUUUCCUAGGAUCACAUAAAAUUUCUUCUUUGCGACUAUCGUCAAUUGCCAGAAACCUAUAAAUAUGACAGAAUCAUAUCUUGGUAAGUUCUUUCAUUAUUAUUAUUAUUAUUUUUUUUUUUGACAUCAUACAUCACUAGGCCAAUGAGUAUAUAGCAGAAUUGAUGAUAAAUUGCAGUGAGAUGUUGGAAGCUGUUGGUCAUGAAUUUAUGGAGAAGUAUUUCAGCUCUUGCAACUCAGUAUUGGCAGAAGAUGGGAUUCUGGUCCUACAGGUAAUUGGACUAGAAAUUAAAUGAAGUCGAUCGAGCUUUUUCAACUCUUCUGGGUUCCUUGAUCAGGCUACGUGUUUUAGCUUGUGAGAAUCCUUCAAUGAAAUGCUCGAUCUGGCAUAAUGCUUGUUUUCCGUGUCUGCUUUUGGUGUCUUUUUCUUCCAAAGAGACUUAUUUUUACAAUUACAUCUUGUUUGCUUCUUGAAACUCUCUUAAAAAUAAUGGUCUAGUACUUGUAGAGUUCCUUAUCCAGCCUGAUCAUCAUUUUAGUAUUUUGUUUUGGCUGUCCUGUCAAUAUACAAAGAAAAAGAAAAAUGAGUCUAAUCUGCUCAUGGUUGAAAACAAUGAUCUUAACUCUAUUUUUCAAUGGCCAAAAGCCCAGAACUAAUUGAUAAAUGUGACUUGUGAAUGAAAGAUGAUGAUCACUGACUGAUGCGGAUUGCGGACAUCAAAGUUUCUGCUAAACAGAUUAAGGAGCCUUUUCAAACUUCCACAGUAACUUAAUCUUCUUUCUCGAUUUAAGCCAACGUCGUCCAAACUUCUUGCCUGAACCUCCUUGCAUUCGAAUUAAAUAAAUGGAAGUUUGAAAGGGCUCCUUAAUCCAUUUAGCACAAUCUUUGAUGUCUGCAUCACUCACUAUAGCCAGUUAGUUGAAAGUUUCAUGUGACCUUGAGACUUGCUGAUCUCCAUGGAUGCAUGAUCUUUGCUCCUCAGUUUAUAUCAAUACCAGAUGAGAGGUAUGAAGAAUACAGACAAAGCUCAGACUUCAUAAGAGAGUACAUCUUUCCAGGUGGUUGCCUACCUUCACUUAGCCGAGUAACAUCAGCGAUGGCUGCAGCAUCCGGACUGUGGUAAAGUUACACUGCUGUGUGAAAUGUGUUUGAAGCUUUCUCCAUAUAGGAAACUCAUAAAAGUACCUCAAAUGCAGCGUGGAGCACCUGGAAAACUUUGGAAUCCAUUACUAUCAUACCCUUAGGCGUUGGAGGACAAACUUCCUGUCAAAACAAAGGUAUCUGAAAUAUAAUCAGCACUAUGUUCAUUCCCAUUAGUUUCAGCCACCUGAGGCGAUAAUAAAGAAUAUAUGGUUCUUCUUUCAGAGUUUUAGUGAACAAAAUUCCAAAUUUUGGUUUUAGUUUGAAGUCCUUUGACCUGAAAGCAUCGUUCCAAACUUAUAAGAACUGAUGUUCUGCAAGGAAUAAGCACCAGCAUAAAUGUCUUGGCAUUCUAUACAGAAUAAAGCAAGGCUGUGCUUGGAUCGAGGAAUUUGACAAAAGAUUUGAAAUUCUCUCAAUAGGUUUGAAUUGCUUGGGAUGCAUUUGAGUUUGUAAUCCACACCAGUUACAAACCCAAAUCCAACCUAGAAAGAUUUUAGGAACUUUACACCUUUCAUUAGUUAAAUCCCUCGAUCCAAACGUAGCCCAAGAGAAUUGUGCUACCUUUCUUCUGGUGCCACUUAUAGUUCUUUCAUUCAUAGUAAACCAUAUACAGUUCUAGCUUUUGUGACUUGGAAACUGAUUGGCGCGUUAAUGCCUUUGUCCUCAGUGAAAUCCUGGAAUUGGGUUUCGAUGAAAAGUUCAUCCGGACGUGGGAAUACUAUUUUGAUUACUGUGCUGCUGGAUUCAAAACAUGCACACUUGGAAACUACCAGGUACAAACCAUGAAAAACUAUUCUGCUUAUCAUUUUUCAUGUUUCUGAGUUUAAUCCCACACGAUUGUCUGAAUGAUGUCAUCGUAGGUUGUAUUUUCCCGGCCAGGCAAUGUUGUAUCCUUUGGCAAUCUACAGAAAGGUGUACCUUCAGCCUAUUGAUUGUUCAUCCUAUGAAGAGGAAAAGAUCUCCAUCUCAAGAGAAACAACAGAAGAAUUCAAUCCUAGAUAGAUGACUUGCCAUUUUUGUCUUUUAAGCUCCAAUAUUGAUUUCUGCUCAAGAUUUCAUUUGGGUUAGUCCUUCACUGCUUCCCAAAGAAGCAUGAAAAACAAAACAAGAAAUAAAGGUAAAAGAACCAAAAGUAGAGAAACAAACGUGCAAAGUUGAUUCACAACUAGCUUCAUAAUGUUGCAAGUUUCUUUGUCGAAGGCUUGUGGAACGAAGAUUGGUUAAAACCUUGAAUUUGCAUUCAACUGUAGUCAUGAUUUGCAGUCAAAAUCUAAAUGUGACUGGGAUUACACCAUAAAAUAUGGUUGUAUUUGAGCUCUUAUCGUAGAUUGAGCUCUUAUCGUAGAUUGGAAACCUUAACCACGAUAAAUAUAGUUAGAAACCAAUUUGAAUAGAACUCAAAAGCAAUGCCAUUGAAUACAAACACAAUCCAGUUUAACUUCUCAGGCUUCUGCGAGUCCAAUACCACUAAAAUCCCUUCCCACCAUGAUGCACCGGCAACUAUUGCUUGACUGUGACUCGAGGGUUAAACCCUAUCCUAGCAGGCAUCCUGCAAUGCAACAAAGGCACAGUAUGUUUCCUUUAUCACAUGCCAGAUAGAAGGCCAAGAUUGAACACAUAGCGGCCUCCUGCAUCAAUCCUGUAGCAUAGCCGACAACAUACCAUUACAUUUCUGCUCUCCAAUAUGGUCCAAUACUUCACCCAAAAACAUUCCUAACCAUAUCCCUCCAAGUCAAAAGAGCAACAGAUUUUUAGACCAUGUGAUCAAAUGAUAAAAGAGGAAGACAGUUCACUAGCAGCAUACAGCCAAAAUACAUCAGAGCUUACAACCGAAGUAGCCUCUACAACUAAUACGAUGUCUCAAUGCAACGUCCAUGCAUCAUGUUUUGAUGUUUGAAACAAAACACUGGUGAUUAAUAUCUAGCAAGAUCAAAAUCAAACAGUCAAGUUGCCAAGCUCCAGGCUUUUAUCAAGAUUAAUGAGAGUCAAAUCACCUAUAUAAAUCCAGAAUAUUCAAUCAUUUAUUACCAUAAAAACUUUUCUUAGACAGCAGACCAAAAUUGUUGCUAUUGUAACUAAUCAUUCAACUUCUGCUAGCCAUGAUAAUGCCAUAGAGCCUACAACUACUAUGUCACCAGUAUAUUAAGUGGUGAUGAUUUCUCCAUCUGCAUUAGACAACAUACCACAAGUUGUCGGGUAAUGAAUCUUCCACCCAUCUCAAAUUGUAUGAAGAUUGAGACAUCCAAAUUCUUUAACAGCAGCAUGGCCUGCUUCAACAUGACAAUUUCUGGGUAAAGCACCAAAUCAACCCAGCCAAACUUCAUUUUCCUGUAACAUCCCACACCAAACACUCAGCAAAAAGUUGUGAUUAGCCCCUGUGAAGGAACUUCAAUUCACCCAGUUUAUGACUUGAGCCUCUCCUCCUGUACAACACAAGGGCAAAUACAGGAGGAAAUGAUUAUGCCAUUCUCAAAAUCAAGCUACCGCUAAGAUUAUCGCUAUCCAUUAGGAAUUGAUCUACCCAAACCGGCUACAGCUGCAGUCUAAAGAAGCUUAACUAAUCUCAUUGUUCCUAUUGCAUCAUACCAAAGAACUCUGGUCACCAAACAACGUAGAAGAGGUAAGUAAUGAGAAACUACUACCAUCACGGAUGGCAAUGACAUAAAUUUCUGGCUCAUCUAUAUCCAGAUAAAGGACAAAAUUAAAAUUUAACUAAAUAACCAUUACCAUAAUACUCACCGCAAUUAACACAAACUUAAACAAAGCUACUAUAUGUUAAACACUACAAAUAGACAAAAACUCCAGAUCAGCUAGUGACCAUAGCUAUAAGCACACCAAAAUUAAAACUACAUUUGAGAGCAGAUAAUAAAGAAGAUGUAACUCUACUCCUCGCAAAUACUACUUAUUAUAAACUAGCAAAAUAGGUAACAGCAAGCUACUCAGAUACAAGCAAUCCAACCAGUCCUAGGUUGAUUGGUAAAAUCUUGCAACAGCC